UACGGGGGGGGGCAAGCGUUGUUCGGAAUUACUGGGCGUAAAGGGCUCGUAGGCGGCCAACUAAGUCAGACGUGAAAUCCCUCGGCUUAACCGGGGAACUGCGUCUGAUACUGGAUGGCUUGAGGUUGGGAGAGGGAUGCGGAAUUCCUGGUGUAGCGGUGGAAUGCGCAGAUAUCAGGAGGAACACCGGUGGCGAAGGCGGUGGUCUGGGCCGGCACUGACGCUGAGGAGCGAAAGCGUGGGUAGCAAACAGG
RNAcentral lists this ribosomal RNA (254 nucleotides) under uncultured bacterium. RNAcentral's name for it is "partial 16S ribosomal RNA". It matches the Rfam family "Bacterial small subunit ribosomal RNA", at positions 524 to 776 of the family's 1533-position model. The record is from RNAcentral.